AUGCAAGGGGUGCUGAGAACGCUCGGCUGAGAUCAUACCCAAUGAACCUGAUGCAGGUAAUGCUGUCGCAGGGAACGCA
RNAcentral lists this non-coding RNA (79 nucleotides) under human gut metagenome. The record is from RNAcentral. RNAcentral also lists the same sequence under 1 other name.